GCCAGAGUGGCGGAAUUGGCAGACGCGCUGGACUCAAAAUCCAGUUCCCUUAACGGGAGUGUGGGUUCAAGUCCCUCCUCUGGUA
Molecule: transfer RNA, 85 nt
Filed under: Planctomycetota bacterium
Lineage: Bacteria; Pseudomonadati; Planctomycetota
Description: tRNA-Leu
Rfam family: tRNA
About the family: Transfer RNA (tRNA) molecules are approximately 80 nucleotides in length. Their secondary structure includes four short double-helical elements and three loops (D, anti-codon, and T loops). Further hydrogen bonds mediate the characteristic L-shaped molecular structure. tRNAs have two regions of fundamental functional importance: the anti-codon, which is responsible for specific mRNA codon recognition, and the 3' end, to which the tRNAs corresponding amino acid is attached (by aminoacyl-tRNA synthetases). tRNAs cope with the degeneracy of the genetic code in two manners: having more than one tRNA (with a specific anti-codon) for a particular amino acid; and 'wobble' base-pairing, i.e. permitting non-standard base-pairing at the 3rd anti-codon position.
Source: RNAcentral